CCUACGGGAGGCAGCAGUGAGGAAUAUUGGUCAAUGGCCGGGAGGCUGAACCAGCCAAGUCGCGUGAGGGAAGACGGCCCUACGGGUUGUAAACCUCUUUUGUCAGGGAGCAAGGUGCAGGUCGGGACCUGCUGUGCGAGUACCUUAUGAAAAAGCAUCGGCUAACUCCGUGCCAGCAGCCGCGGUAAUACGGAGGUGGCAAGCGUUAUCCGGAAUGACUGGGCGUAAAGGGUGCGUAGGUGGUUUAGUAAGUUGGCGGUGAAAGUCCGGGGCUCAACCGCGGCGCUACCGCCGAAACUAGUAGGCUAGAGUGCAGGAGGGGUAAGUGGAAUUCCUAGUGUAGCGGUGGAAUGCGUAGAUAUUAGGAGGAACAUCAGGGGCGAAGGCGACUUACUGAACUGUAACUGACACUGAGGCACGAAAGCGUGGGGAGCAAACAGGAUUAGAUACCCCAGUAGUC
RNAcentral lists this ribosomal RNA (460 nucleotides) under uncultured bacterium. Its description in RNAcentral is "partial 16S ribosomal RNA". It matches the Rfam family "Bacterial small subunit ribosomal RNA", at positions 338 to 795 of the family's 1533-position model. The record is from RNAcentral.